GAUAAACGCUGGCGGCGCACAUAAGACAUGCAAGUCGAACGGACUUAACUCAUUCUUUUAGAUUGAGAGCGGUUAGUGGCGGACUGGUGAGUAACACGUAAGCAACCUGCCUAUCAGAGGGGAAUAACAACGAGAAAUCGUUGCUAAUACCGCAUAAGCUAGUAGCAUCGCAUGAUGCAGCUAGAAAAGGAGCAAUCCGCUGAUAGAUGGGCUUGCGUCUGAUUAGCUAGUUGGUGGGGUAACGGCCUACCAAGGCGACGAUCAGUAGCCGGACUGAGAGGUUGAACGGCCACAUUGGGACUGAGAUACGGCCCAG
Molecule: ribosomal RNA, 316 nt
Filed under: uncultured bacterium
Lineage: Bacteria
Description: bacterial SSU rRNA
Rfam family: Bacterial small subunit ribosomal RNA
Source: RNAcentral